RNAcentral lists this ribosomal RNA (371 nucleotides) under uncultured organism. Its description in RNAcentral is "bacterial SSU rRNA". It matches the Rfam family "Bacterial small subunit ribosomal RNA", at positions 526 to 896 of the family's 1533-position model. The record is from RNAcentral.
CGUAGGGUGCAAGCGUUAAUCGGAAUUACUGGGCGUAAAGCGUGCGCAGGCGGUUAUGCAAGACAGAUGUGAAAUCCCCGGGCUUAACCUGGGAACUGCAUUUGUGACUGCAUAGCUGGAGUACGGCAGAGGGGGAUGGAAUUCCGCGUGUAGCAGUGAAAUGCGUAGAUAUGCGGAGGAACACCGAUGGCGAAGGCAGUCCCCUGGGCCUGUACUGACGCUCAUGCACGAAAGCGUGGGGGAGCAAACAGGAUUAGAUACCCUGGUAGUCCACGCCCUAAACGAUGUCAACUGGUUGUUGGGAGGGUUUCUUCUCAGUAACGUAGCUAACGCGUGAAGUUGACCGCCUGGGGAGUACGGCCGCAAGGUUG